Molecule: ribosomal RNA, 211 nt
Filed under: uncultured bacterium
Lineage: Bacteria
Description: partial 16S ribosomal RNA
Rfam family: Bacterial small subunit ribosomal RNA
Source: RNAcentral
GACAGAGGGGGCAAGCGUUGCUCGGAAUUACUGGGCGUAAAGGGCGCGUAGGCGGGAUGGCAAGUCGGUCGUGAAAUCCCUCGGCUCAACCGAGGAACGUCGAUCGAUACUGCUGUUCUUGAGGAUUGCAGAGGAGACUGGAAUUCCCGGUGUAGCGGUGAAAUGUGUAGAGAGUCGGGAGGAACGACCGGUGGCGAAGGCGGGUCUCUGG